This 442-nucleotide ribosomal RNA is filed under the name uncultured bacterium. RNAcentral's name for it is "partial 16S ribosomal RNA". It matches the Rfam family "Bacterial small subunit ribosomal RNA", at positions 338 to 795 of the family's 1533-position model. The record is from RNAcentral.
CCUACGGGCGGCAGCAGUGGGGAAUAUUGGGCAAUGGGCGCAAGCCUGACCCAGCAACGCCGCGUGAAGGAAGAAGGCUUUCGGGUUGUAAACUUCUUUUAAGGGGGAAGAGCAGAAGACGGUACCCCUUGAAUAAGCCACGGCUAACUACGUGCCAGCAGCCGCGGUAAUACGUAGGUGGCAAGCGUUGUCCGGAUUUACUUGGUGUAAAGGGCGUGCAGCCGGAGAGACAAGUCAGUUGUGAAAUCCACGGGCUCAACCCGUGAACUGCAUUUGAAACUGUUUCCCUUGAGUGUCGGAGAGGUAAUCGGAAUUCCUUGUGUAGCGGUGAAAUGCGUAGAUAGAAGGAAGAACACCAGUGGCGAAGGCGGAUUACUGGACGAUAACUGACGGUGAGGCGCGAAAGCGUGGGGAGCAAACAGGAUUAGAUACCCUGGUAGUC